RNAcentral lists this ribosomal RNA (610 nucleotides) under uncultured Actinomycetes bacterium. RNAcentral's name for it is "bacterial SSU rRNA". It matches the Rfam family "Bacterial small subunit ribosomal RNA", at positions 230 to 850 of the family's 1533-position model. Lineage: Bacteria; Bacillati; Actinomycetota; Actinomycetes. The record is from RNAcentral.
UUCGCGGCCUAUCAGCUUGUUGGUGAGGUAAUGGCUCACCAAGGCGUCGACGGGUAGCCGGCCUGAGAGGGUGACCGGCCACACUGGGACUGAGACACGGCCCAGACUCCUACGGGAGGCAGCAGUGGGGAAUAUUGCACAAUGGGCGAAAGCCUGAUGCAGCAACACCGCGUGAGGGACGACGGCCUUCGGGUUGUAAACCUCUUUUAGCAAGGAAGAAGCGAAAGUGACGGUACUUGCAGAAAAAGCGCCGGCUAACUACGUGCCAGCAGCCGCGGUAAUACGUAGGGCGCAAGCGUUAUCCGGAAUUAUUGGGCGUAAAGAGCUCGUAGGCGGUUUGCCGCGUCUGCUGUGAAAACCCGAGGCUCAACCUCGGGCCUGCAGUGGGUACGGGCAGACUAGAGUGCGGUAGGGGAGAUUGGAACUCCUGGUGUAGCGGUGGAAUGCGCAGAUAUCAGGAAGAACACCGAUGGCGAAGGCAGAUCUCUGGGCCGUAACUGACGCUGAGGAGCGAAAGGGUGGGGAGCAAACAGGCUUAGAUACCCUGGUAGUCCACCCCGUAAACGUUGGGAACUAGUUGUGGGGUCCAUUCCACGGAUUCCGUGACGCA